UACAGAGGGUGCAAGCGUUAAUCGGAAUUACUGGGCGUAAAGGGUGCGUAGGUGGCGGGGCAAGUCAGGUGUGAAAUCUCGGGGCUCAACCCCGAAACUGCAUUUGAUACUGCCUUGCUCGAGUACUGGAGAGGAGAUUGGAAUUUACGGUGUAGCAGUGAAAUGCGUAGAUAUCGUAAGGAAGACCAGUGGCGAAGGCGGGUCUCUGGACAGUUCCUGACACUGAGGCACGAAGGCCAGGGGAGCAAACGGG
RNAcentral lists this ribosomal RNA (253 nucleotides) under uncultured bacterium. Its description in RNAcentral is "partial 16S ribosomal RNA". It matches the Rfam family "Bacterial small subunit ribosomal RNA", at positions 524 to 776 of the family's 1533-position model. The record is from RNAcentral.